UGGGAUGUAGCGCAGUUUGGUAGCGCACCUCGUUCGGGACGAGGGGGUCGCAGGUUCAAAUCCUGUCAUCCCGA
RNAcentral lists this transfer RNA (74 nucleotides) under Hormoscilla sp. SP12CHS1. RNAcentral's name for it is "tRNA-Pro". It matches the Rfam family "tRNA". Rfam says of the family: Transfer RNA (tRNA) molecules are approximately 80 nucleotides in length. Lineage: Bacteria; Bacillati; Cyanobacteriota; Cyanophyceae; Gomontiellales; Gomontiellaceae. The record is from RNAcentral. RNAcentral also lists the same sequence under 1 other name.